This 253-nucleotide ribosomal RNA is filed under the name uncultured bacterium. Its description in RNAcentral is "partial 16S ribosomal RNA". It matches the Rfam family "Bacterial small subunit ribosomal RNA", at positions 524 to 776 of the family's 1533-position model. The record is from RNAcentral.
UACGUAGGGGGCUAGCGUUGUCCGGAAUCAUUGGGCGUAAAGCGCGCGUAGGCGGCCCGGUAAGUCCGCUGUAAAAGUCAAAGGCUCAACCUUUGAAUGUCAGUGGAUACUGCCGGGCUAGAGUCCGGAAGAGGCGAGUGGAACUCCUGGUGUAGCGGUGGAAUGCGCAGAUAUCAGGAAGAACACCGACGGCGAAGGCAGCUCGCUGGGACGGUACUGACGCUGAGACGCGAAAGCGUGGGGAGCAAACAGG